GCUGGCAUAGCUCAGUCGGCAGAGCGCGAUCUUGGUAAGAUCGAGGUCUCCGGUUCGAUCCCGGAUGCCAGCU
Candidatus Woykebacteria bacterium RBG_16_39_9b is the source of this 73-nucleotide non-coding RNA. Lineage: Bacteria; Candidatus Woykeibacteriota. The record is from Rfam.